AGAGUUUGAUCCUGGCUCAGGACGAACGCUGGCGGCGUGCCUAAUACAUGCAAGUCGAACGAGGUGUUCUUGGGUGGUAACACCCUUGAUCACCUAGUGGCGAACGGGUGAGUAACACGUGAGGAACCUGCCCUGAAGACGGGGAUAACAGAAGGAAACUUCUGCUAAUACCCGAUGCCCCCACCGGAUCGCAUGGUCUGGUGAGGAAAUGGAUUCCGCUUCAGGAGGGCCUCGCGGCCUAUCAGCUUGUUGGUGGGGUAACGGCCCACCAAGGCUUGGACGGGUAGCUGGUCUGAGAGGACGAUCAGCCACACUGGGACUGAGACACGGCCCAGACUCCUACGGGAGGCAGCAGUAAGGAAUAUUGCGCAAUGGGCGAAAGCCUGACGCAGCAACGCCGCGUGCGGGAUGAAGGCCCUCGGGUUGUAAACCGCUUUCAGUAGGGAAGAAAAUGACGGUACCUACAGAAGAAGCCCCGGCCAACUACGUGCCAGCAGCCGCGGUAACACGUAGGGGGCGAGCGUUGUCCGGAUUUAUUGGGCGUAAAGAGCUCGUAGGCGGUUUCGUAAGUCGGAUGUGAAAACUCCAGGCUCAACUUGGAGACGCCAUUCGAUACUGCGAUGACUUGAGUCCGGUAGGGGAGUGUGGAAUUCCUGGUGUAGCGGUGAAAUGCGCAGAUAUCAGGAGGAACACCGGCGGCGAAGGCGGCACUCUGGGCCGGAACUGACGCUGAGGAGCGAAAGCGUGGGUAGCAAACAGGAUUAGAUACCCGUGUAGUCC
This 780-nucleotide ribosomal RNA is filed under the name uncultured bacterium. Its description in RNAcentral is "bacterial SSU rRNA". It matches the Rfam family "Bacterial small subunit ribosomal RNA", at positions 8 to 796 of the family's 1533-position model. The record is from RNAcentral.